Molecule: long non-coding RNA, 912 nt
Organism: Xyrauchen texanus (razorback sucker)
Lineage: Eukaryota; Metazoa; Chordata; Actinopteri; Cypriniformes; Catostomidae
Exons: 3
Source: RefSeq, a predicted model, not a curated record
CGCCUGAAUACGGUCCAGCUCACGGGCAUCAUUUAUAAAGUGAUCAAUUGGAAUAGACGAGGAGCAGGGCUGGACUGGUAAUCUGGCCUACCGGACGUUUUUCCGGUGGACCGACGCACUUAGGGGCCGAUCAGUGUGGACUGGCCAUCGGGAGAACCGAGCGGGCCGCUGUGUUGUCUGCGAUAAGCUAAACGAGCCGCCGCGUUAGCGAAUACUCUCCCCCAACAACUUUUGGGCCAGUUAUGUAAAAUCCCGGGCCGAUUUCUCUUUCCAGUCCAGCCCUGACAAGGAGCACAUGGAUAUUGUUGAAGUUAAACAAGUACAAGCUUGCCCAGAGUUUUCUUAAGCCGUUUGGAGUGUGAUGCAGCACAUGUUUCCUUGGCAAUGAAGUGGAGCCUGAUGUUUGUGCAGCUUUCUGCAAUGCACUGAGUAUGAAGAUGUGAUUGUUGUAUGGUUCUAGGUUGAACAUGUUUGCCUCAAGUUCCUUGAAUGCAGAACCACCAUGGAGAUGCAGAACCUUUGUGGGGACAGAGAUGGGCCUUGUGAGUGUGUGCUGUUGAAGAAAUCUCUCAGCUGUCUUGCAGACUUUCAGGACGCUGUCUGACGGUCUUAUAAAUCCACUUCAGGACUUCAUGUCGAUCAGUGUGUUCAUCUUGGGAAGAGCUCUCGACACUGAGUGCUGAUAAACAGGCUGAACGUCACUGCCUGAAAUGCCAGCAUAUCAGAAGAUGCUGCCUCCAGUGUCACUGUGAUAUCCGGUGGAGAACUGUUGCCACUAGCUCUGAUGGCAUGUCUUGCUACCAUUCUUUUGAAAGCUGAAUAAUGUGGGAUUGUUGUUAAAUCCAUUAGCAGAUUUGUUCCCACAUAUCUGCAAAUUUUUAUUGUAUUGUUCAGUUUAAGUACAUUUUUGUA